RNAcentral lists this ribosomal RNA (459 nucleotides) under uncultured bacterium. RNAcentral's name for it is "partial 16S ribosomal RNA". It matches the Rfam family "Bacterial small subunit ribosomal RNA", at positions 338 to 795 of the family's 1533-position model. The record is from RNAcentral.
CCUACGGGAGGCAGCAGUAGGGAAUAUUGGGCAAUGGACGAGAGUCUGAACCAGCCAAGUAGCGUGAAGGAUGACUGCCCUAUGGUUUGUAAACUUCUUUUAUAUGGGAAUAAAAUGUUCCGCGUGUGGGAUUUUGUAUUUACCAUAUGAAUAAGGAUCGGCUAACUCCGUGCCAGCAGGCGCGGUAAUUCGGGGGAUUCUAGCGGUGUCCGGGUUUCUUGGGUUUAAAGGGUACUUAGGGGUAAUGCCAUGUCAGCGGAAAAAUCGCGGGGCUUAUCCUCGCUCCGCCGUUGAAACUGGGGUUCUUGAGUGGGGGAGAAGUAUGCGGAAUGCGUGGUGUAGCGGUGAAAUGCGUAGAUAUCACGCAGAACUCCGAGUGCGAAGGCAGCAUACUGGCGCCCAACUGACGCUGAAGCACGAAAGCGUGGGUAUCGAACAGGAUUAGAUACCCUAGUAGUC